This 460-nucleotide ribosomal RNA is filed under the name uncultured bacterium. RNAcentral describes it as "partial 16S ribosomal RNA". It matches the Rfam family "Bacterial small subunit ribosomal RNA", at positions 338 to 795 of the family's 1533-position model. The record is from RNAcentral.
CCUACGGGAGGCAGCAGUGAGGAAUAUUGGUCAAUGGGCGCUAGCCUGAACCAGCCAAGUAGCGUGAAGGAUGACUGCCCUAUGGGUUGUAAACUUCUUUUAUAUGGGAAUAAAGUGCAGUACGUAUACUGCUUUGCAUGUACCUUAUGAAUAAGGAUCGGCUAACUCCGUGCCAGCAGCCGCGGUAAUACGGAGGAUCCGAUCGUUAUCCGGAUUUAUUGGGUUUAAAGGGAGCGUAGGCGGGUUGUUAAGUCAGUUGUGAAAGUUUGCGGCUCAACCGUAAAAUUGCAGUUGAUACUGGCAGCCUUGAGUACAGUAGAGGUAGGCGGAAUUCGUGGUGUAGCGGUGAAAUGCUUAGAUAUCACGAAGAACUCCGAUUGCGAAGGCAGCCUGCUGGACUGUAACUGACGCUGAUGCUCGAAAGUGUGGGUAUCAAACAGGAUUAGAUACCCCUGUAGUC